GAUGAACGCUGGCGGCGUGCUUAACACAUGCAAGUCGAACGGAAAGGCGCUGCUCUUGCGGGGUGCUCGAGUGGCGCACGGGUGUGUAACACGUGAGUAUCCUGCCCUUGACUUUGUGAUAACUCCAGGGAACUGGGGCUAAUACAGGAUAGGAGCUCCUGCUGCAUGGGGGGGGUUGGAAAGUUUCGGCGGUUGGGGAUGGACUCGCGGCUUAUGAGCUAGUUGGUCGAGUAGUGGCUUACGAAGGCUUCGACGGAUAGCCGGCCUGGGAGGGGGACCGGCCACAAGGGGACUGCGGGACGCCGCAGUCGGCAACGUGAGGCAGUGGGGGGAAAUAUUACACAGUGAGCGGGAGCCAGAUGCAACGGCGCCGGGUUCGUAAAGCCCGCCUUCGAGGUAUGAACCGCUUUGGCCUGUGACAAAGCGUGAGUGACGGUACUGGAUAAAGAAGCACCGGCUAACUACGUG
Molecule: ribosomal RNA, 468 nt
Filed under: uncultured bacterium
Lineage: Bacteria
Description: partial 16S ribosomal RNA
Rfam family: Bacterial small subunit ribosomal RNA
Source: RNAcentral